This 402-nucleotide ribosomal RNA is filed under the name uncultured bacterium. RNAcentral describes it as "bacterial SSU rRNA". It matches the Rfam family "Bacterial small subunit ribosomal RNA", at positions 355 to 774 of the family's 1533-position model. The record is from RNAcentral.
UGGGGAAUUUUGCGCAAUGGGGGAAACCCUGACGCAGCAACGCCGCGUGCGGGACGAAGGCCUUCGGGUUGUAAACCGCUUUCAGCAGGGAAGACCAUGACGGUACCUGCAGAAGAAGCCCCGGCUAACUACGUGCCAGCAGCCGCGGUAAUACGUAGGGGGCGAGCGUUAUCCGGAUUCAUUGGGCGUAAAGCGCGCGCAGGCGGCCGAUCAAGCGGAACCUCUAAUCCCGGGGCUCAACCCCGCGGCCGGGUUCCGAACUGGUCGGCUCGAGUUCGGUAGAGGAGGGUGGAAUUCCCGGUGUAGCGGUGGAAUGCGCAGAUAUCGGGAAGAACACCGAUGGCGAAGGCAGCCCUCUGGGCCGACACUGACGCUGAGGCGCGAAAGCUGGGGGAGCGAACA